UAUGUCAGGAAUAUUUAUGUUAAGUCUAUUAUUUUCGUCGAUUUUGUGAAAUCCAAUUUUCAAAUUAAUGGCCGUUUUUCUUUAAGUGUACAGUAAUAAGAAAAAAGGAAAGCAGGGACAUCGCCAACUAAUGGCACAAUUUCGCCAACUAGCUGGAUGCGAGUGCGGAUGCGGAUAUGUGAGAAUUCAAUGAAAUGGAAACUAACAAAAUCAAAUUGAUAGAAAAGGCAAAGGCAGAGCACGGAUCAGGCUUUAAAGGACACUGCGAUGAAAAGAAAUCGGCGCAAAUCAAACUGAGCAGCGCAGCAGGAAAAAUUGGGCCGGCAAAAAGGGAGCAGAACAAAAAAGGUUAGCGGAAGCGCAGCGACAAAAGGGCGGCACCGGAGCUUUUCCACCACCCAUCCUCGCCGGAGGACAACAAAAGAUGCUGGGAAAGCCGAAGGAGUCACGACAUGGAACAAUGCCUCCGCUUCGUCCUUGGACAGGAGCUGAGCAGUGGGUGGUGGCGGAGGAAGGGUAGCCAGCUAGCGGGGCAUAACUCGUGGCCAGCUUCCGUUCAAUUUGAAGCCUGUUUGCUGCCUCAGUAGAAGAAAGCCCAAGCGAAAAACAAAAGCGGAAACGAACAGUUGGCGGCCGAUUGGAACAAUUGCAGCGGAGGCAUCAGCCAUCAGCGGAGGUAGAAAAGAAAAUUUAAGAAAAUAAACUUAUUUGAACGGUGCACACCCUUA
Molecule: small RNA, 728 nt
Filed under: Drosophila yakuba
Lineage: Eukaryota; Metazoa; Arthropoda; Insecta; Diptera; Drosophilidae
Description: GE28564
Source: RNAcentral